GAGUUUGAUCGUGGCUCAGAACGAACGCUGGCGGCGUGUUUAAGACAUGCAAGUCGCACGGUAUCAUUGAUGUAGUAAUACUUUAAUGGUUCAGUGGCGCACGGGUGAGUAACACGUGAAUUACAUGCCCUAUAGAGGGGGAUAGCCCAGGGAAACUUGGAUUAAUACCCCAUAGUCUCGCAAGAGUAAAGGUGGCCGCAAGGCUGUCGCUAUAGGAUUGGUUCGCGCCCUAUCAGCUUGUUGGCGGGGUAACGGCCCACCAAGGCUACGACGGGUACCUGGUUUGAGAGGACGAUCAGGCACACUGGAACUGAGACACGGUCCAGACACCUACGGGUGGCAGCAGUCGAGAAUAAUUCACAAUGGGGGCAACCCUGAUGGUGCAACGCCGCGUGGAGGAUGACGGUCUUCGGAUUGUAAACUCCUGUCAUCUGGGAUAAGCCUGGGCAUUAAUAGUGCACAGGG
Molecule: ribosomal RNA, 465 nt
Filed under: uncultured Verrucomicrobiae bacterium
Lineage: Bacteria; Pseudomonadati; Verrucomicrobiota; Verrucomicrobiia
Description: bacterial SSU rRNA
Rfam family: Bacterial small subunit ribosomal RNA
Source: RNAcentral